This 178-nucleotide small nuclear RNA is filed under the name Ipomoea nil (Japanese morning glory). RNAcentral describes it as "U2 spliceosomal RNA". It matches the Rfam family "U2 spliceosomal RNA". Rfam says of the family: U2 is a small nuclear RNA (snRNA) component of the spliceosome (involved in pre-mRNA splicing). Complementary binding between U2 snRNA (in an area lying towards the 5' end but 3' to hairpin I) and the branchpoint sequence (BPS) of the intron results the bulging out of an unpaired adenosine, on the BPS, which initiates a nucleophilic attack at the intronic 5' splice site, thus starting the first of two transesterification reactions that mediate splicing. The record is from Rfam by way of RNAcentral. Lineage: Eukaryota; Viridiplantae; Streptophyta; Magnoliopsida; Solanales; Convolvulaceae.
ACAGCAUAACGAUUGAGUAUCUGUUCUUAUCAGUUUAAUAUCUGAUAUAUGUGGGCCAUUGGCUCACACGAUAUUAACUCAAUUUUUUUAGGGGAAAGGCCUAAUUAGGUAGCUUGCUACCUUGGCCUUUGAGUGUCGCCUUGGUGUUGCAUUGUUACCUUGGCCUGGCACGCCCCAU